GAUUCUGGCUCAGGAUGAACGCUAGCGGCAGGCUUAACACAUGCAAGUCGAGGGGCAACGCGAGUAGCAAUACUUGGCGGCGACCGGCGCAAGGGUGCGUAACGCGUGAGCAACAUGCCCGUAUCAGGGGGAUAAUCCAGGGAAACUUGGUCUAAUACCCCAUAGUAAUUUUGUAAGGCAUCUUAUAAGAUUUAAAGCUUUGGUGGAUACGGAUUGGCUCGCGUGACAUUAGCUGGAUGGUAAGGUAACGGCUUACCAUGGCUAUGAUGUCUAGGGGUUCUGAGAGGAAGGUCCCCCACACUGGAACUGAGACACGGUCCAGACUCCUAUGGGAGGCAGCAGUGAGGAAUAUUGGACAAUGGAUGGAAAUCUGAUCCAGCCAUGCCGCGUGAAGGAAGAAGGUCCUAUGGAUUGUAAACUUCUUUUGUAUGGGAGCAAUAAGGCCUACGAGUAGGUUGAUGAGAGUACCAUACGAAUAAGCACCGGCUAACUCCGUGCCAGCAGCCGC
This 508-nucleotide ribosomal RNA is filed under the name uncultured bacterium. Its description in RNAcentral is "bacterial SSU rRNA". It matches the Rfam family "Bacterial small subunit ribosomal RNA", at positions 15 to 518 of the family's 1533-position model. The record is from RNAcentral.